UACGUAGGGAGCAAGCGUUGUCCGGAAUCAUUGGGCGUAAAGCGCGCGUAGGUGGCUUCGUAAGUCCGUUGUGAAAGUCAAAGGCUCAACCUUUGAAAGCCGAUGGAUACUGCGGAGCUAGAGUACGGAAGAGGCGAGUGGAAUUCCUGGUGUAGCGGUGAAAUGCGCAGAUAUCAGGAGGAACACCAAUGGCGAAGGCAGCACUCUGGGACGUGACUGACGCUGAGGAGCGAAAGCGUGGGGAGCAAACAGG
This 253-nucleotide ribosomal RNA is filed under the name uncultured bacterium. Its description in RNAcentral is "partial 16S ribosomal RNA". It matches the Rfam family "Bacterial small subunit ribosomal RNA", at positions 524 to 776 of the family's 1533-position model. The record is from RNAcentral.